UACCAGCACCCCGAGUGGUCGGGACGAUUAUUGGGCCUAAAGCAUCCGUAGCCGGUCCUGCGAGUCUUCCGUUAAAUCCAGCUGCUCAACAGAUGGGCUGCGGAAGAUACUACAGGGCUAGGAGGCGGGAGAGGCAAGCGGUACUUUAUGGGUAGGGGUAAAAUCCGCUGAUCCAUAGAAGACCACCAGUGGCGAAGGCGGCUUGCCAGAACGCGCUCGACGGUGAGGGAUGAAAGCUGGGGGAGCAAACCGG
This 253-nucleotide ribosomal RNA is filed under the name uncultured bacterium. RNAcentral's name for it is "partial 16S ribosomal RNA". It matches the Rfam family "Archaeal small subunit ribosomal RNA", at positions 474 to 727 of the family's 1478-position model. The record is from RNAcentral.